AGUUUGAUUAUGGCUCAGGAUGAACGCUAGCUACAGGCUUAACACAUGCAAGUCGCGGGGCAGCAUGACGAUGCUGCAAUUGUGAUGGCGACCGGCGCACGGGUGAGUAACGCGUAUCCAACCUUCCCCAUAGUAGGGUAUAGCCCGGCGAAAGUCGGAUUAAUCCCCUAUGUUGUUUGAAGCGGACAUCUAAUUCAAACCAAAGAUUCAUCGCUAUGGGAUGGGGAUGCGUCUGAUUAGGUUGCAGGCGGGGUAACGGCCCACCUGGCCGACGAUCAGUAGGGGUUCCCGAGAGGAAGGUCCCCCACACUGGUACUGAGACACGGACCAGACUCCUACGGGAGGCAGCAGUGAGGAAUAUUGGUCAAUGGGCGCGAGCCUGAACCAGCCAAGUAGCGUGCCAGGAUGACGGCCCUACGGGUUGUAAACUGCUUUUAUGCGGGGAUAAAGUGCGGCACGUGUGCCGUUUUGCAGGUACCGCAUGAAUAAGGACCGGCUAAUUCCGUGCCAGCCGCUGC
This 518-nucleotide ribosomal RNA is filed under the name uncultured bacterium. Its description in RNAcentral is "bacterial SSU rRNA". It matches the Rfam family "Bacterial small subunit ribosomal RNA", at positions 10 to 518 of the family's 1533-position model. The record is from RNAcentral.